UAAUUGAAGCUAGUUAACCAUUAAAUUUUUAGUUAUAAAAUGGAUCAAACUUUUUUUUUAUAACAUGCAAAGGAAGAAACUUAUGGCUCAAAUUCACUUAUGUGUUUAUGCUUUGAUUAUCUUUCUUUCUCCAUUUCUUGCUUUAACAAAUGACCGUAUUGUGUAUCAUGGCUGUUAUUCUGAUGAUCAAUGUCCAAAUGAGUGUCCUGCUAUUCUUAUGAGGUGCAUUCACAGCCUUUGUGUGGAGUUUAUCAGAACUGAUCCGCUAUUUAUAUGAGGUUCAUCCAUGGCCUUUGUGUGGAGUUUAUCAAAUAAUUAUAUAAUUUCAUAUGUAUGUCAUAGUAUUUGUAUUUUUAUAAUUUACCUCAAAGUUUGAGUAAUGUUUCUCUUUUUUUAUAUAUUGAUUUAUGUUUCUCUCGUA
Molecule: long non-coding RNA, 421 nt
Organism: Medicago truncatula (barrel medic)
Lineage: Eukaryota; Viridiplantae; Streptophyta; Magnoliopsida; Fabales; Fabaceae
Exons: 2
Source: RefSeq, a predicted model, not a curated record